UGGUGGAGUGAUUUGUCAGGUUAAUUCCGGUAACGAACGAGACCUCCGCCUGCUAAAUAGUCACGCGAUGCUUCUGCAUCCGCGGACGACUUCUUAGAGGGACUACGGGCGGUGAGCUCGCGGAAGUUGGAGGCAAUAACA
Molecule: ribosomal RNA, 141 nt
Filed under: uncultured eukaryote
Lineage: Eukaryota
Description: partial 18S ribosomal RNA
Rfam family: Eukaryotic small subunit ribosomal RNA
Source: RNAcentral